RNAcentral lists this long non-coding RNA (5038 nucleotides) under Sus scrofa (pig). Its description in RNAcentral is "lncRNA (ENSSSCG00025016734.1)". The record is from RNAcentral. Lineage: Eukaryota; Metazoa; Chordata; Mammalia; Artiodactyla; Suidae.
CUGAAUUUGUUUUCUCGUUGGGAAAAGUGGUCAUUAAAGUAUUAGUUUAGGUUGAUUGGUUCUUCAGCGGCAGAAGAGGCUUCUGAUGCUUUGUUAUCUUUGACAUGAUCUCAAAACAGUGGCCUGAUUAUUAUACAAUAUAGAAAUAAUAACUUGAGGCAGCAGCUUCUUUUUGGAAGCCCACGCGGGGGUGCUGGUAUUUUCAUGGGUGCUGAUGGGGCCUGAGUGCCUGGCCAGAUCCCUGGAUGUGAUGCAGAACUUCCCCUCCCUGCUCUGGCCACCAAGCCCCCCUCCCACGGACCUGAAUUCUCCCCCUGUCGUUGAGGCUGCUGAGCACUUGUCUCCUUUAUAUCAACCAGUGGCGCAUUCACUAAGAAGAAUGGGAACAGGGAGAGGGCUGGCUUUGAUGUUUCCAGGGGCAGGAAAUCACCCGGAGCAUUCUUCCAGGGCCACUUGGCAGCAGGUAGAGGGUGUGACAGCUGGUGGGAAGGUCGGCAACUGGGAUGUGGCCGCUGAACCGUAGCCGGGAAUUAUGCGGCCCUUGCAAACGGAAAAGUUUAUUCCUAUAGUCUGGUGGGGGGUAGGGGUGAGGGAGAAAGAUCAGAGGGCCCGGCACAUACCACCUGGGAAAAAGAGAAUUCAAAGUUAUCAAAUAACAUGUCGGAAGCUUUCAUUACUUUUCAAGACCAGUUGGCCCAAGAUGUCAAGUCCAAUCUAAAGAGAAGGCGUGAUUGUCAAUACUCAACAGGUGGGAUUGCAUGGGGGUUAAUCCAUGGGCCUCAACUCUGGACUUGAAGCAUCUCUUUGCCCAUCUGUUAAGAUAGUCUGUAACGAGUUUAUUGUGAGAAAUUAUUACAUACUCACCACGUGCCAAACACUAUGCAUAGCACUUGACAUGCGUUAUCUUAUUUCCUAGUCACAACGCCAUGGCAUGUUUAUUAUUAAAUGCCCCCCUUUCUCAUAAGGAAAUGGGUGUAAAGAGUUGAAGUAAGUGAUCCAGAGUCAUGCAGCUGGUAAGGAAGCCAAGAUUCAAAUCCAGUCAGUCCAAACUCUAGAGCACUAUUAGCCAUCACUUAGGAAUUAAAUCAAAUAACACAGGAGUUCCUGUUGUGGCGCAGUGGUUAAUGGAUCCGACUAGGAACCAUGAGGUUGCAGGUUCGAUCCCUGGCCUUGCUCAGUGGGUUAAGGAUCCAGCGUUGCCGUGAGCUGUGGUGUAGGUUGCAGACGCGGCUCGGAUCCCACGUUGCUGUGGCUGUGGUGUAGGCCGGCGGAUACAGCGCCAAUUAGACCCCUAGUCUGGGAACCUCCAUAUGCCUCAAGAGUUGCCCAAGAAAUGGCAAAAAGACCAAAAAAAAAAAAAAAAUCGAAUUAAUACAUAAAUUGAUUCUGGUCCGAGAUACUCAGCAAGAAUACGGAUCAUUCAUUUUACUUUGCCAACACUAUUAUUAAACUCCCCCGGUUGCUUUGUCCAAAUGGAAAAAAAAGUAUGUGACCAUACCUCAAGAAAUGAAAGGGCUUUAUGAAAGCAAACAGAUAAAAGGACAUUAUGAUCCUUGGAGCCGACACACAGGAAAAUCAGCAACAUUUCUUGAUUUGCAAAUUCCAUGGACUCCCCCAGGGAAUAAAGGGAAUGAAGGGUCAUGGGAAUGGGGGCUCAUUUCUAGAGGGAGCUCAGCCAUGAGGUCUGGAGGAAAGACACUGGCGUCACCUGCACCUUAGCUGCAUGGAGCUGGGGAUGUGGGUGACCAUCAAGAGGGGGGACGGGGUGCUGACAGACAAUCCCGUGAGCUAAGGGAAGCCGCCUGGGUACAUGCUCGCCGCCGUACAUGCUCACAGGCACUCAAGCUUCCCCCACUCCUCUCUGAAGCCCCCAAGGAAUCAAGUGUCACUGCCAUCUGCAAAUUCUUAGGGAGAUUCAGAGGCUUAAUUAAAAACCCUCCUUCAUUUGCUUAUUGGAUUAGUAUUUACCGAGAACCUUCUAUGUGUUGAGCACAGCCAGGCACGCAGCAAAUGAAACCGGCUGACUAGGUCCCUGACGUGUAAUAGAGUAAGCGAUCUAGACUGAAGGUGGGGAGCUAGGUUGUCACGAGUGCUGCAGGAGGGCUGGGCAGGCCAGGGGUGACCUGGUCUGAUUGAAGGAAGGGAGAGGUGGGCUGGGAGGGAGUGGGACCCUGGAAGUCUCUUCAGAGGAGAUGCCGGGUGGUCCUAUCAGCAAAGUUCUUCAAACUGAAUUUGGUUCUGCUGUGUGUAUGGUAGAAAACUCUGGAACACAGUGCUGUCUCCGAUGCUACAGAGGACACACACAAAAAGAAGGAAGAAACAGUAUCCUUCACCCUUGAGAGCUUAAAAUAUGACAGCAAAUCCAAAGAAGCGUCAACAAAAUAAUGAGAUGGACAAAGCAACACAACCACGACUCUGGCUUUAUAACUUCGUACAACUCCGUGACUUUUCAAACACCCGGAAGCAACCAAGAGUGGGUAUUGAUCGUUGAGCAAUGUGUGAUGGCCGUGGACUCCUGGGAGACUGGGGAACAUUACUGAAUGUGUCCACUUAGGGCACACCUACCAAGAGCACUGGGGUCAAGAGCCAUUGUUCUCCACUACAAACCAGCUCCACCAUCAGCUGUUUGCACUUGGGCAGGCCUCCUGGCCUCUCAGAGACCACACUGCCUCACUGCAAAAUGGAGAUAGAAUGACACCUAUUUCUAGGCUUGAGAUGAGGAUGAAAUGGGAUAAAGCAAGAAAAUGCUGGGACCAAAGUCCGCUAAGAGUAAGCUCUCAGUGGUGAUAGUGAACUUAUGGAAUGUUGAUUAUUUACAACUGUUUAUUUUUCAAUAAAUGUAUAUAAUAAAAAUUAAUAUUACUCACAAGCUGGGUGCCAAGGCAACUCUUGCUGUGUUCCAGUCAUUAUUCUAGCCACAUGGUGUGUUUUGACUCAUUUGAUCCCUACAACAAUACUAUCAGAGAGAUAUUAUUACCCUCCUUUUACAGAUAAGGAAACAAGCACAGAGAGGUUAAAUAAUUUACUCAAGGUCACACAGCAGAGCCAGGAUUCAAACCCAGGCAGUUUGGUUUAGCCUGCACUCCUAACCAGUCUGCAAUGCUGCUUCAUAUCAUCAUGAAUAAGAUAUAGUCCUUGAGAAGAAAAUUUUAAAGUAAGCUGGCUUAUGAUAAGACUCAGGAGAGAGGAGAUGGGAUUAAGAUGGCAGAAUAGAAGGACUGGAGCUCAACUUCUCUUCUAAAAACAACAAAAAUUCACAACUAAAGAGUGAGCAGUCUCCACCCAAAUGGACCUGAAACCCCAUACCCUACUCCAGAAGAAAAAGAGGAGGCCACAUCAAGAGGUAGGAGGGGUGAUUUCGUGAUAUAAACAACCCCAUACCUCCUGGGUGGGAAGCUCCACAGACUGGAAACUAACUGGUUCACAGAGACUCACCUACAGGAGUGAGAGUUCUGAGCCCCACAUCAAACUCUCACAUGUGGGGAUCUGGCACUGGGAGAAAGAGCCCCUGGAGUAUCUGGCAUUGAAGGCCAGUGGGGCUUGUGUGCAGGAGCUCCACAGGACUGGGGGAAAUGGAGACCCCAUUCUUAAAAGGCGCACACAGACUUUCACGUGCACUGAGUCCCAGGGCAAAGCAAAGUCUCCAAGGGAAUCUGGGUCAAACCUGACCGCAGUUCUUGGAGGACAUCCUGGGAAAACAGGGGUGAAUGUGGCUUGUUGUGAGGGAAGGACAUUGAAGGCAAAGCUCUCAGGAAUAUUCAGCAGUUGCCUUUCUCUGGAGGUGGCCAUUUUGGGAAAAUCUGGCCCUACCCAUCAGCCAGCUGCUGAGAAGCCCCAGGGCAAACAACAAUCCAGGUGGGAUCACAGCCACACCCCUCAGUAAACAGGCUACCUAAAGACACCUCAGGCACACAGCUGCCUCUAAUCCCAUCCAAAGACUAAGCCCCACCCACCAGAGGGAUUAGAAUCAACAACUCCUACCAGGGGGCAGGCAUCAGCCCCUCCCAUCAGGAAGCCUACAGCAAGCCGCCUACCAACUUCAACCACAAGGGGGCAGACAUCAGAAGUAAGAGAGGCUACAACUCUAUUAUCUGUAAGAAGGUCGCCACACCAAAAACCUAUAAAAAUGAAAAGACAGAGGACUAUAACUCAGAUGAGGGAGAAAGGAAAAACCCCAGAAAAUCAGCUAAGCCAUGAGGAGAUUCUCAGCCUCCAGGAAAAAGACUUUAGACUGUCGAUGCUGAAGAUGAUGCAAGACAUUGGAAAUAAACUGGAGGCAAAGAUGGAUAACUUACAGCAAACACUGACCAAAGAGAUACAAGAUAUAAAACAUAAACAAGAAGAGAUGCAAAAUACAGUAACAGAAAUAAAAAAUGCACUAGAAGCAGCCAACAGUAGAAUACAGGAGGCAGAAGAACGACUAAGUGAGGUGGAGGACAGAUUAGUGGAAAUUACAGAUGCAGAACAGAAAAGAGAAAAAAGAUUGAAAACAAAUGAAGAGAGUCUCAGAGAACUCUGGGACAAUGUUAAACGCACCAACAUCCGUAUUAUAGGGGUGCCAGAAGGAGAAGAGAGGAAGAGACAGAAAAAAUAUUCCAAGAGAUAAUAGCUGAAAAUUUCCCUAACGUGGGAAAGGAGUCACUCACUCAAAUCCAGGAAGCACAACGAGUACCAUAUAAAAUAAACCCAAGGAGGAAUACACUGAGACACAUACUAAUCAAACUGACCAAAAUUAAAGACAAAGAGAAAACCUGAAAGCGGCUGGGGAAAAGAAACAAGUAACAUACAAGGGAACCCCAAUAAGGUUAUUGGCAGAUUUUUCAGCAGAAACUCUGCAGGUCAGAAGGGAGUGGCAUAAUAUACUUAAAGUGAUAAAAGGAAAAAACCUCCAACCAAGAUUACUCUACUCAGCAAGGCUCUCAUUCAGAUUUGAAGGAGAAAUCAAAACCUUCUCAGAUAAGCAAAAGCUGAGAGAAUUCAGCAACACUAAACCAGCCUUACAACAGAUACUAAAGGAACUUCUAUAGGCAGAAAAGAA